This 386-nucleotide ribosomal RNA is filed under the name uncultured Legionella sp. RNAcentral's name for it is "bacterial SSU rRNA". It matches the Rfam family "Bacterial small subunit ribosomal RNA", at positions 441 to 826 of the family's 1533-position model. Lineage: Bacteria; Pseudomonadati; Pseudomonadota; Gammaproteobacteria; Legionellales; Legionellaceae. The record is from RNAcentral.
AGGGUUGAUAGGUUAAGAGCUGAUUAAUUGGACGUUACCCACAGAAGAAGCACCGGCUAACUCCGUGCCAGCAGCCGCGGUAAUACGGAGGGUGCGAGCGUUAAUCGGAAUUACUGGGCGUAAAGGGUGCGUAGGUGGUUUGAUAAGUUAUCUGUAAAAGCCCUGGGCUCAACCUGGGAAGGCCAGAUAAAACUGUUGGACUGGAGUAUAGGAGAGGGUAGUGGAAUUUCCGGUGUAGCGGUGAAAUGCGUAGAGAUCGGAAGGAACACCAGUGGCGAAGGCGGCUACCUGGCCUGAUACUGACACUGAAGCACGAAAGCGUGGGGAGCAAACAGGAUUAGAUACCCUGGUAGUCCACGCUGUAAACGAUGUCAACUAGCUGUUGG